CCAAGGUCUCCAGCCAGCGUGUGGCAGAGCAAAAUCAAAACCAGAUCCUCUAACUUCUGGUUCCUGCAUCUGGCCUGCACUGCCCGCCGCCCCAGCACGAAUAGGGGCAGAGAAACCAGACAGGUGAGGGAAGAAACGAGGCCCUGGAUCAUGGAAGCAGACAAGCCUGAAGGGCCCUCAGGGAGGUAGUUUCCCACACAGAGCACCGAGAGCCUGGAAUAGUAGCUGGCGCAGAGGAGACCUGCCGUACCUCCCCACGGAAUGCACCACGUAUUCUUCGCGAGCCUGUCCCUCACCUUGUCAGAAUGCUGACCGAGCCGCUCUCCGUGCCAGCAGGGAUCAGGAGGGAUCUGGCAAGACCGCU
Molecule: long non-coding RNA, 364 nt
Organism: Eptesicus fuscus (big brown bat)
Lineage: Eukaryota; Metazoa; Chordata; Mammalia; Chiroptera; Vespertilionidae
Exons: 3
Source: RefSeq, a predicted model, not a curated record